RNAcentral lists this ribosomal RNA (483 nucleotides) under uncultured bacterium. RNAcentral describes it as "partial 16S ribosomal RNA". It matches the Rfam family "Bacterial small subunit ribosomal RNA", at positions 29 to 507 of the family's 1533-position model. The record is from RNAcentral.
AUUGAACGCUAGCGGGAUGCUUUACACAUGCAAGUCGAACGGCAGCGCGGACUUCGGUCUGGCGGCGAGUGGCGAACGGGUGAGUAAUGUAUCGGAACGUGCCCAGUAGCGGGGGAUAACUACGCGAAAGCGUAGCUAAUACCGCAUACGCCCUACGGGGGAAAGCAGGGGAUCGUAAGACCUUGAACUAUUGGAGCGGCCGAUAUCGGAUUAGCUAGUUGGUGAGGUAACGGCUCACCAAGGCGACGAUCCGUAGCGGGUUUGGGAGGACGACCAGCCACACGGGGCCUGAGCACCGGCCCAGACCCCUACGGGAGGCAGCAGUGGGGAAUUUGGGAAAAUGGGGGCAACCCUGACCCAGCCAUCCGCGUGUGCGAUGAAGGCCUUCGGGUUGUAAAGCACUUUUGGCAGGAAAGAAACGUCGCGGGCUAAUACCCCGUGGAACUGACGGUACCUGCAGAAUAAGCACCGGCUAACUACGUG